AUGGGCGUAAGAGCUCGUAGGCGGUUUGUCGCGUCUGCCGUGAAAGUCCGAGGCUCAACCUCGGAUCUGCGGUGGGUACGGGCAGACUAGAGUGAUGUAGGGGAGACUGGAAUUCCUGGUGUAGCGGUGAAAUGCGCAGAUAUCAGGAGGAACACCGAUGGCGAAGGCAGGUCUCUGGGCAUUAACUGACGCUGAGGAGCGAAAGCAUGGGGAGCGAACAGGAUUAGAUACCCUGGUAGUCCAUGCCGUAAACGUUGGGCACUAGGUGUGGGGGACAUUCCACGUUUUCCGCGCCGUAGCUAACGCAUUAAGUGCCCCGCCUGGGGAGUACGGCCGCAAGGCUAAAACUCAAAGGAAUUGACGGGGGCCCGCACAAGCGGCGGAGCAUGCGGAUUAAUUCGAUGCAACGCGAAGAACCUUACCAAGGCUUGACAUGUGCCAGACCGCCGUGGAAACACGGUUUCCCCUUUGGGGCUGGUUCACAGGUGGUGCAUGGUUGUCGUCAGCUCGUGUCGUGAGAUGUUGGGUUAAGUCCCGCAACGAGCGCAACCCUCGUUCUAUGUUGCCAGCGGGUCAUGCCGGGGACUCAUAGGAGACUGCCGGGGUCAACUCGGAGGAAGGUGGGGACGACGUCAAAUCAUCAUGCCCCUUAUGUCUUGGGCUUCACGCAUGCUACAAUGGCCGGUACAAUGGGUUGCGAUACUGUGAGGUGGAGCUAAUCCCAAAAAGCCGGUCUCAGUUCGGAUUGGGGUCUGCAACUCGACCCCAUGAAGUCGGAGUCGCUAGUAAUCGCAGAUCAGCAACGCUGCGGUGAAUACGUUCCCGGGCCUUGUACACACCGCCCGUCAAGUCACGAAAGUUGGUAACAUCCGAAGCCGGUGGCCUAACCCCUUGUGGGAGGGAGCCGUCGAAAGUGGGACCGGCGAUUGUAACUAAGUUCGUACCAAGUAGCCAU
Molecule: ribosomal RNA, 955 nt
Filed under: Arthrobacter sp.
Lineage: Bacteria; Bacillati; Actinomycetota; Actinomycetes; Micrococcales; Micrococcaceae
Description: bacterial SSU rRNA
Rfam family: Bacterial small subunit ribosomal RNA
Source: RNAcentral